CUGAAUCAUGGGGCAGGUUUUUCCUGUGCUGUUCUUUUGAUAGAGAGUAAGUCUCAUAAGAUCCAAUGGUUUUAUAAAGGGCAGUUUCCCUGCACAGGCUCUCUUGCCUGUCACCAUGUAAGACAUGCCUUUGCUCUUCUUUCUCCUUCCACCAUGAUUGUGAGGCCUCCCCAGCCAUGUGGAACUGAUCCUGUCUUCCCCUGGGUGCAACCAGUUCGUCAUCAAUCUAAGUAUGUUGGUGUGGUCCCCUGAGUCAACAGGAAGUGGCAAAUCCUUGCUGAGUGAGUUCCCUGAAUGGGGAGGAUAUCCUGAACAUGCUAUAACCUGAAAAAGCACAUGUUUAUCUUGCAGCAUAAAAGCCUUCUGUUGGUCAUACAAUGCUUGUUAAUCCAGGGCUCUCUGUAAGCCUGACUCAGUAAGUGGUAAAGAAAGAAAUGAAUUUAC
This 444-nucleotide long non-coding RNA is filed under the name Callithrix jacchus (white-tufted-ear marmoset). RNAcentral describes it as "lncRNA (ENSCJAG00000076282.1)". Lineage: Eukaryota; Metazoa; Chordata; Mammalia; Primates; Cebidae. The record is from RNAcentral.